CGGACGGGUGAGUAACACGUGGAUAACCUACCUAUAAGACUGGGAUAACUUCGGGAAACCGGAGCUAAUACCGGAUAAUAUUUUGAACCGCAUGGUUCAAAAGUAAAAGACGGUCUUGCUGUCACUUAUAGAUGGAUCAGCGCUGCAUUAGCUAGUUGGUAAGGUAACGGCUUACCAAGGCAACGAUGCAUAGCCGACCUGAGAGGGUGAUCGGCCACACUGGAACUGAGACACGGUCCAG
Molecule: ribosomal RNA, 241 nt
Filed under: uncultured Staphylococcus sp.
Lineage: Bacteria; Bacillati; Bacillota; Bacilli; Caryophanales; Staphylococcaceae
Description: partial 16S ribosomal RNA
Rfam family: Bacterial small subunit ribosomal RNA
Source: RNAcentral